AAAAAAAAAAAAAAAAAACACCCAUACACACACUCUUUGCCUUGUUUUUCUUAACAUACUUUUCCUUUUAAAUGUUUGAAGAUUUAUUACAUAAUGUAUUUCUCAUUAAUUUUCCCCACAUGUAUUUUAAACUCGAAGGAAUAGUUCAUGCUUACAAUACUUUCUUAACAAAAAAGAUUCUUGCUUCUGAUAGCUGAUAAUGUUUACCUUGUUUGCAG
This 218-nucleotide unclassified non-coding RNA is filed under the name Hevea brasiliensis (rubber tree). Lineage: Eukaryota; Viridiplantae; Streptophyta; Magnoliopsida; Malpighiales; Euphorbiaceae. The record is from RNAcentral.